UACGGGGGGUGCGAGCGUUGUCCGGAAUCACUGGGCGUAAAGGGCGCGUAGGUGGUCUUGUAAGUUUGUGGUGAAAGCCCGGGGCUCAACCCCGGGUCUGCCGCGAAUACUGCGAGACUUGAGUACUGUAGAGGCUGGUAGAAUGCCGGGUGUAGCGGUGAAAUGCGUAGAUAUCAGGAGGAAUACCGAUGGCGAAGGCAGGUCUCUGGGCUGACACUGACGCUCAUGCACGAAAGCGUGGGGAGCAAACAGG
This 253-nucleotide ribosomal RNA is filed under the name uncultured bacterium. RNAcentral's name for it is "partial 16S ribosomal RNA". It matches the Rfam family "Bacterial small subunit ribosomal RNA", at positions 524 to 776 of the family's 1533-position model. The record is from RNAcentral.